This 427-nucleotide ribosomal RNA is filed under the name uncultured beta proteobacterium. RNAcentral describes it as "bacterial SSU rRNA". It matches the Rfam family "Bacterial small subunit ribosomal RNA", at positions 355 to 774 of the family's 1533-position model. The record is from RNAcentral. Lineage: Bacteria; Pseudomonadati; Pseudomonadota; Betaproteobacteria.
UGGGGAAUUUUGGACAAUGGGCGAAAGCCUGAUCCAGCAAUGCCGCGUGUGCGAAGAAGGCCUUCGGGUUGUAAAGCACUUUUGUCCGGAAAGAAAUCUGUUCGGCUAAUACCCGGACGGGAUGACGGUACCGGAAGAAUAAGCACCGGCUAACUACGUGCCAGCAGCCGCGGUAAUACGUAGGGUGCAAGCGUUAAUCGGAAUUACUGGGCGUAAAGCGUGCGCAGGCGGCUGGGCAAGACAGGUGUGAAAUCCCCGGGCUUAACCUGGGAACUGCACUUGUGACUGCAUGGCUAGAGUGCGUCAGAGGGAGGUGGAAUUCCGCGUGUAGCAGUGAAAUGCGUAGAGAUGCGGAGGAACACCGAUGGCGAAGGCAGCCUCCUGGGAUGACACUGACGCUCAUGCACGAAAGCGUGGGGAGCAAACA